Oxyura jamaicensis (ruddy duck) is the source of this 1406-nucleotide long non-coding RNA. RefSeq lists it as uncharacterized. Lineage: Eukaryota; Metazoa; Chordata; Aves; Anseriformes; Anatidae. The transcript has 3 exons. The record is from RefSeq and is a predicted model, not a curated record.
GUACCCCUUUCUGAGUUUAAUUUUCCUGGCGUUGAAUAAUUUACUUUCUAACACUUGUCUGUGUACUACUCCACUUAAAAGUUGCAGCUUUUGCUCCUUAUUGUUCACAUUAAGACAAUUUAAUUAGCUGACCUUUCUACCUUCCUCUAAGAAAAGAACAUUAAGUGUUCUAAUUAUUUAGGUCUUUCAAACAUUUUUGCAACCACAUAUUGAUUCUAAUUAGUGUUUCUUUCUGUCUAGUUUUAAUUUCCAUCAGAUUUAUCUCUAGCUUUAAGUUGUUUUGUUUAUACAUUUAUCUACAAAAGAUUUCUGAUUUUAUUAUUGUUCCUUCCUGCAUUCUGAGUCACCUUCUUAUGAGCAAAUUGCCAGUAGAAAACUCUCUUCCUGACUUCAAUGAGUGGGGUGUUGAAACUGCACUUUGGGCAGAACUUAGGCUUUAUGAAACUGGGGGCCUUGUGUUAAGAAUUUUGGGAAUAGAGUGCAAACUGUAUUCUUGGACGAACACCUGUGAUGUAAAAGGCCAUAAAAUGGGCACAUCUAAUGUUGAUCAUGAUUAAGGACUGGGAAAGAUUCCCAGGACACCAGACAUCCUAUCAGGGAGAGCCAGGGUUCAGGGUAAAUGACAAUGACACAACAGUAACAUCUGAAGGACAUCUGCUUCUGACAAGGAUGCUCAUCUUCCUGCAGUGAUUGCACUUGUGCAUGCUUGAGAGAGUAAAGUGGAAGCUGAAUGACUUCUGGUUUAGAUUUUAAUUGCAAGAAGCUGAGGUUUGGAUGGCAGAAGGUAAAAUGGUAUUUUAUCAAGGUUAUCCUGGAGUAACUUUCAAGAAUUACUUACUAGAUUCCUCAGGCGGACAGAGAAUGAAAGAAUAGAUUGAAGGAUAGUAAAUCAUAUAGCUUUAAGAGCUAUAUAUAUAGCAGCUUUAAGAUGGUAACAGUUUUCUGGUACAGUGUAUGGAAUUAUUACUAGUGUUGAUAUUUUGUUGACUCGUCUGUGACAUUAUCUGCAAUAGAAAUAAUUAAUAGGAUUACAUUUUUCUGGUAAAUAAUAUGAAUGGUGUAUCAGUUUGAGGAGAGAAAGAACACAUCUGUAGGGACAGAAAAGUUGUCUUUGUUGUUAAAAUGCUUGUAUGCUAGUGUAAUGGGUUAGGUGGUAGUGCUCUGCAGGGAUUUUCAUGUGAGAUGUAUGUGGGUUUAUGUUCUCCUCUUGUACAGUAAUAUAGGAAGUAACUAAGAAUUUUUAAUGUACCUUGGUGUUGAUUUUGGAUGCUAUAACUACUAUGAGAAUAAAUAUAAAUAUUCAUUUUUAUGGAAACUGAGCAUGAGUCCACAUCCUGAUUAUGUCUUUGUUUGUAUUUAACACACACAAAUAAAAUCAUAAAAACAAUUCUAAAACAAUAAAUACA